UACGGAGGGUGCAAGCGUUAUCCGGAUUCACUGGGUUUAAAGGGUGCGUAGGUGGGUUGGUAAGUCAGUGGUGAAAUCUCCGAGCUUAACUUGGAAACUGCCAUUGAUACUAUCAGUCUUGAAUAUUGUGGAGGUCAGCGGAAUAUGUCAUGUAGCGGUGAAGUGCUUAGAUAUGACAUAGAACACCAAUUGCGAAGGCAGCUGGCUACGCAUAUAUUGACACUGAGGCACGAAAGCGUGGGGAUCAAACAGG
This 253-nucleotide ribosomal RNA is filed under the name uncultured bacterium. RNAcentral's name for it is "partial 16S ribosomal RNA". It matches the Rfam family "Bacterial small subunit ribosomal RNA", at positions 524 to 776 of the family's 1533-position model. The record is from RNAcentral.